GCCGCUUUAGAAACCUAUUUAUAGUAUACAUCAAAAAGAAGAGAAAUGCUCUCUUCAGUUGGACUAUACCUACACCAAAUUUAUUUUGCUUUCUAAGCAAUGGUUUGUAGUCCCCAUAAAAUCAAAAAAAUGUAUUGGUACAAUUGUAUGCAACACAAGUAUUAUGAGUACAGAAUAAAAUGUAAACUCAGUGUUGAAAGUAAUUAUGAUGUAAAAC
RNAcentral lists this long non-coding RNA (217 nucleotides) under Mytilus galloprovincialis (Mediterranean mussel). Lineage: Eukaryota; Metazoa; Mollusca; Bivalvia; Mytilida; Mytilidae. The record is from RNAcentral.